CGUAGGGUGCAGGCGUUAAUCGGAAUUACUGGGCGUAAAGCGUGCGCAGGCGGUCUCUUAAGACAGGUGUCGAAAUCCCCGGGCUUAACCUGGGAACUGCGCUUGUAACUGAGAGGCUUGAGUGUGCCAGAGGGGGUGGAAUUCCACGUGUAGCAGUGAAAUGCGUAGAGAUGUGGAGGAACACCGAUGGCGAAGGCAGCCCCCUGGGGUAACACUGACGCUCAUGCACGAAAGCGUGGGUAGCAAACAGGAUUAGAUACCCUGGUAGUCCACGCCCUAAACGAUGUCAACUAGGUGUUGGGAGGGUAAAACCUUUUAGUACCGGAGCUAACGCGUGAAGUUGACCGCCUGGGGAGUACGGCCGCAAGGUUA
RNAcentral lists this ribosomal RNA (372 nucleotides) under uncultured organism. RNAcentral's name for it is "bacterial SSU rRNA". It matches the Rfam family "Bacterial small subunit ribosomal RNA", at positions 526 to 896 of the family's 1533-position model. The record is from RNAcentral.